GCGGCGUGCUUAACACAUGCAAGUCGAGCGGGGACUCGGGGCUUCGGCCUUGAGUUCUAGCGGCGGACGGGUGAGUAACGCGUGAACAAUCUGUCCCAGACAGGGGGAUAACACUUGGAAACAGGUGCUAAUACCGCAUAAGACCACGACACCACAUGGUGACGGGGUAAAAGAUUUAUCGGUUUGGGGUGAGUUCGCGUCCGAUUAGCUAGUUGGUGAGGUAACGGCCCACCAAGGCGACGAUCGGUAGCCGACCUGAGAGGGUGAUCGGCCACAUUGGAACUGAGACACGGUCCAAACUCCUACGGGAGGCAGCAGUAGGGAAUCUUCCGCAAUGGACGAAAGUCUGACGGAGCAACGCCGCGUGAGCGAAGAAGGCCUUCGGGUCGUAAAGCUCUGUUGUCAGGGAAGAACAAGUGCCAUUCGAAUAGGUUGGCACCUUGACGGUACCUGGCCAGAAAGCCACGGCUAACUACGUGCCAGCAGCCGCGGUAAUACGUAGGUGGCAAGCGUUGUCCGGAAUUAUUGGGCGUAAAGCGCGCGCAGGCGGUCCUUUAAGUCUGAUGUGAAAGCCCACGGCUCAACCGUGGAGGGUCAUUGGAAACUGGAGGACUUGAGUGCAGAAGAGAAGAGUGGGAAUUCCCACGUGUAGCGGUGAAAUGCGUAGAGAUGUGGAGGAACACCAGUGGCGAAGGCGACUCUUUGGUCUGUAACUGACGCUGAGGCGCGAAAGCGUGGGGAGCAAACAGGAUUAGAUACCCUGGUAGUCCACGCCGUAAACGAUGAGUGCUAAGUGUUAGGGGGUUUCCGCCCCUUAGUGCUGCAGCUAACGCAUUAAGCACUCCGCCUGGGGAGUACGGCCGCAAGGCUGAAACUCAAAGGAAUUGACGGGGGCCCGCACAAGCGGUGGAGCAUGUGGUUUAAUUCGAAGCAACGCGAAGAACCUUACCCGGGCUCGAACGGCUGGUGAACGACACAGAGAUGUGAAGGCUCUUCGGAGCGCCAGUCGAGGUGCUGCAUGGUUGUCGUCAGCUCGUGCCGUGAGGUGUCGGCUUAAGUGCCAUAACGAGCGCAACCCUUGCCGCUAGUUACCAUCAGGUAAUGCUGGGGACUCUAGCGGGACUGCCGCCGUAAGGUGAGAGGAGGGGGGGGAUGACGUCAAAUCAGCACGGCCCUUACGUCCGGGGCGACACACGUGUUACAAUGGCAGGUACAGAGGGCGGCCAGGCAGCGAUGCCGCGCAAAUCUCGAAAGCCUGUCUCAGUUCGGAUUGGAGUCUGCAACCCGACUCCAUGAAGUUGGAUUCGCUAGUAAUCGCACAUCAGCCAUGGCGCGGUGAAUACGUUCCCGGGCCUU
RNAcentral lists this ribosomal RNA (1356 nucleotides) under uncultured bacterium. RNAcentral's name for it is "bacterial SSU rRNA". It matches the Rfam family "Bacterial small subunit ribosomal RNA", at positions 39 to 1382 of the family's 1533-position model. The record is from RNAcentral.